This 270-nucleotide ribosomal RNA is filed under the name uncultured bacterium. RNAcentral's name for it is "partial 16S ribosomal RNA". It matches the Rfam family "Bacterial small subunit ribosomal RNA", at positions 793 to 1055 of the family's 1533-position model. The record is from RNAcentral.
GUCCACGCCCUAAACGAUGGAUACUAAUCAGAAGAACCUGCAAGGGUUUUUUUGACGUAGCGAAAGCGUUAAGUAUCCCGCCUGGGGAGUAUGGUCGCAAGGCUGAAACUCAAAGGAAUUGACGGGGGCUCACACAAGCGGUGGAGCAUGUUGCUUAAUUCGAUGCAACGCGAAGAACCUUACCCGGGCUCGAAAUGUACGGAUUAGCUCCGUGAAAGCGGAGUGACACCUUAACCGGUGGAACGUAUAUAGGUGUUGCAUGGCUGUCGU